This 268-nucleotide long non-coding RNA is filed under the name Mytilus galloprovincialis (Mediterranean mussel). The record is from RNAcentral. Lineage: Eukaryota; Metazoa; Mollusca; Bivalvia; Mytilida; Mytilidae.
GAAAUCAAUGAAAUUUUAACACAAGGUUUAUGACCACAAAAGGAAGGUUGGGAUUGAUUUUUGGAGUUUUGGUCCCAACAUUUUAGGAAUUAGGGGCCAAAAAGGGCCCAAAUAAGCAUUUUCUUGGUUUUCGCACUACAACUUUAGUUUAAGUGAAUAGAAAUCUAUGAAAUUUUGACACAAGGUUUAUGACCACAAAAGGAAGGUUGGGAUUGAUUUUGGGAGUUUUGAUUCCAACAGUUUAGGAAUUAAGGGCAAAAAAAGGGCC